AUUGUCAUCUUUUGUACUUGAAGAUGUUUAAAGUAAAAAAAAAAAAUAUAAUGUUUAUUUUGGGCAAAUGUAAUGUAAAAGAAAUGAUGGAAGUGAUGUAAUGAAAUGUAAAGACUUUAUGAACGUACAAGUUGGAUGAAAUGGAUACAUGUGUGUGAUCAAAAGUGAAUCAUAGUACUUAUGUAGAUGUUUAGUUUCUUUUCUUUCACUCAUGGCUAUUGUUUACCCUCGUGUAAGCCGUUUGUGUAUGUUUCUGCUAGAGCUUUUCUCUACUUGAAAAUGUACAGGUGAUAAGCCUUGGGCGGACAGGGAAAACUCU
Molecule: long non-coding RNA, 319 nt
Filed under: Ananas comosus (pineapple)
Lineage: Eukaryota; Viridiplantae; Streptophyta; Magnoliopsida; Poales; Bromeliaceae
Description: long non-coding RNA (ACOM_LNC023253)
Source: RNAcentral